RNAcentral lists this ribosomal RNA (253 nucleotides) under uncultured bacterium. RNAcentral's name for it is "partial 16S ribosomal RNA". It matches the Rfam family "Bacterial small subunit ribosomal RNA", at positions 524 to 776 of the family's 1533-position model. The record is from RNAcentral.
UACGUAGGGGGCAAGCGUUGUCCGGAUUUAUUGGGCGUAAAGAGCGUGUAGGCGGCUAGGCAGGUCUGUUGUGAAAACUGGAGGCUCAACCUUGAGACGUCGACAGAAACCGCUUGGCUAGAGUCCGGAAGAGGAGAGUGGAAUUCCUGGUGUAGCGGUGAAAUGCGCAGAUAUCAGGAAGAACACCAAUGGCGAAGGCAGCUCUCUGGGACGGUACUGACGCUGAGACGCGAAAGCGUGGGGAGCAAACAGG